Ceratina calcarata is the source of this 976-nucleotide long non-coding RNA. RefSeq lists it as uncharacterized. The record is from RefSeq and is a predicted model, not a curated record. The transcript has 2 exons. NCBI's taxonomy places the organism in Eukaryota, Metazoa, Arthropoda, Insecta, Hymenoptera, Apidae.
ACACGAGGCAUUUUAUUCGCGGACGACGCGACGUGACACGGUUUUCGAAAAUCCGCAGAGAGAAAUGGGAAAUCGAAGACGAGCGUUAUAAAUACAUGCGAGGGAAGAGCGAUGCCAAAAAUUCGAAACGGGCCGAGGGUAAGAGGCAACGAGCGCGUAUAUCCUGGAUAAAGUCCUUCGCCGGAUUCCGAUAUUCUUUUCCGCGCACGUAUGACGACAUGACGUCGGUGCACCAAAUUGAAUUCGACUGUGAAUUCCUUGCUGGGUUCACGUCUCUGCAGACGUGAAAUAUCGACGGCGAGAAUCGCGGCCGCGUCGCGUCGUGCCAACAAGCAUUUGCAAUUAUCAGACUGCGGGUCUUUAUGUAAAAUCAAACUUCUGUUUUAAGCAAUGUGAUUCUCUAAUAGUUCCUUCGUCUCUUUAGAAAAGUUCGUAAAAUCUACUCGUACACCUCGCCUGUGACUUUACUUUGAAUUAUGCUCGUCUUUAAUCGUGACGCAACAACAGUACACUUUUUAUAUUACGAUAAAUAGAUCUUUCAUGCAUUUUUACAACGUUUAAAUAUCACGAGGACGAGACAAAGCAGUAAGUAACGCGUGGGAACCAUGCCGCCUCGCGGUGCUCCAAUCGAGGAGGCAUUCCUCUCGAACGCGUUCGCGACUCCUCGAUCGAAAUACUUUGGGGCUGCUGCAGGAACUUUAUAAAUAAUUCAUCUACCUUUAACGAUCCUCCCAGAUCUAACUCGCUAAUUGCGCGUCAGGGAGUUCUCCGCUCCUCGUCUCGUUAGUUCUUUUUCUUAUCAACGAAUUAUCCUGGCAUUGAGACCGUGAUCGAACACUCAAAUGUCUGUCCCUAUCUUAAAAUCUUUAUGGAGAAAUUUAUAAUUCCUUUAUGGCAAGUCUAAUUCCAGCGAUUUAUAGAAAUCAAAAUACUAAAUCUGUAGACAACAUAAUAUGCAAUAAAUGUAAAAUAUAAA